UAAAGCUGCUUAUGAAUAAUCAACAUCUCUAAUUACCCAAAUUGAUAAUAGAAAUUUAUUAAAAAGACUGAUUUGAGAAAAUUUUCCCAGUAUUUGUUAUCUAAUAAGAGCGAUUGUUCGAGACAUCCGUUGCAAAUCUGUUGAUUGAUAAAGCGGUUCUUUGUACCGUGCUUCACAUCCGGAGUCAUGUAUGACUCAUGCAUAGUCAUAGUGACGCAUUUACCGUUCGCCACACAGAGAUACAUACAUUAAUAAUUAAUCAUUGCAAUCUUUUUCGUAAACAUACGAAACAAGGCUUAUUUCCGCCAUUCGGUAUCAUUCAAUAGUUUCGGUUUAAAAUAUUCAAGAUCGGUGUAAUGCUUAGUAAUAGUACAUACUAUAUAAUAAAUAUUCUUGUACACAAUGUGUUUUCUUUUCCCAUUUGAAAUUUGAAAUCUUAAAAUUUAUCAAAGAUAAAAAAAACAAUAUAGAAAAAAAUAUCAUCGAAUUAGCCUUUUUCUAAAAUCUAAAUAGACGGGUAUCUUUUUUUUCAACACACGUUCAACGGUUUUAUACUAAUUGUAGACAAUUUGUUUACAGUUUUCUUUUCUUUUAUCGUCGAAUGCAUAUUUAUUCGAUGAAUAGGAAUUAGUCGGAAUUUAUGUGUCGUCGAAGAAACCUAGAUACAAGAUCCUCAGCGAUAUGCGACUUCGACAAUCAAAUGAAGCACCUCUGCUAUAUAAAUAUCAGUAUAGGACUGCAAUUACAUACAUCGAGCUGCUUACGUAAGCGUGAAUAACAACAUGCGUUGGCGUGGCCGAAGAAUGCGAAAAAGUGCUUGUUGGAAAUUAUAUGGCUCAAGGAAAAAGUUGUAUGAAAAAGCGGUAUGUUUUGCAAUAUGUCGUUGAAUUGUAAAAUUGCGGCGCAAUUUCAUCGAGUGGAUAAUAUGAUAUACAUGAAAAUAUAUUUACAAAAAAUAUUCAGAGCAGCAAGAGCCAGCAUACGUUAAAACUAAAACGCUUUAAACGCGGUUAAACGCAAAUUAUUUUCUCAUCAGUCUGUAUAUAUAUAUAUGUAUUCUCCAACAUUUCUGCGUAUAACUGGCGCGAUGAGUGUAAAUAAAUAUUGCGUAUCAAAAACUCAUUUAAAAUAUACUUUUACGCAGUAGUAUAUUCUAGAAGAGAAAAAGUCGCACUUAUCUGAAAGAUUAGACGUCUUUACGAUACUUUAAUGAUAUUUGUUAUUUACAUCAUUUGUAUCAUGUUAUCGAAUAGUUUUUAUUUUGAUUUAUUUACUGCUAUAUAUACAUAUAUAUAUAUAUGAUUUGAUGAGUGCGUACAUAUAUAUGUUCAAGACGCACGUGUACAUUGAAUAUUUUAAUAUCUGGAUUUAUUUAAAAGGAUGGAAACAUGAUGUAAGUGUAAUAUGGAAGCAUUUAUAUAAUUAAAAUAAAAUUGUUACAUCUUUAAAUAGAAAAUAUAUCCGUAAUAAUGUAAUGAAGGAUAAGAUUAUAAAAAGCUAAAGUGAACGGAUGACCGUGAAUAAAAUACAUUCAAAUUAAAAAAUUAAGAUUCAAAAAAUGAAUAGAUUAUUAAAAAAAAAUACAAAUUCACAUGAAAUAUAUAAAAAAGUCGCCAGCAGCGAAGUAUAAAAAUCUAACUGGAUGAUGAUAUAUAUAUAUAUAUAUAUAUAUAUAAUGUUCCAAUUUCGAUAAUCUAACAUAUAACAUUUUGUCUGAAAAGACAAAACUGAUAAAUGUUACACAAGAUAAAUGUUAUACAUAAAUUUUAUAAUUCAAAUGUAUAAAUAUAUAUGAAGAUAUAUUAUAUAUAUUAAACAAUAUUUAUAAAAAUUAUCGAUACUACACGUUUCAAUUUGGGAUAUGUAUGUACAAAUUGUAAAAGAAAGAGAGAACAAAAACAUUAUAAUAAAUAUUUAAAUAUAACAGA
Long non-coding RNA from Formica exsecta, 1928 nucleotides. RefSeq lists it as uncharacterized. The record is from RefSeq and is a predicted model, not a curated record. NCBI's taxonomy places the organism in Eukaryota, Metazoa, Arthropoda, Insecta, Hymenoptera, Formicidae. The transcript has 2 exons.